RNAcentral lists this ribosomal RNA (1345 nucleotides) under uncultured bacterium. RNAcentral describes it as "bacterial SSU rRNA". It matches the Rfam family "Bacterial small subunit ribosomal RNA", at positions 28 to 1381 of the family's 1533-position model. The record is from RNAcentral.
GAUGAACGCUAGCGGGAGGCCUAACACAUGCAAGCCGAGCGGUAGAGUCUCUUCGGAGACUUGAGAGCGGCGCACGGGUGCGGAACACGUGUGCAACCUGCCUUUAUCUGGGGGAUAGCCUUUCGAAAGGAAGAUUAAUACCCCAUAAUAUACUGGAUGGCAUCAUCUGGUAUUGAAAACUCCGGUGGAUAGAGAUGGGCACGCGCAAGAUUAGAUAGUUGGUGAGGUAACGGCUCACCAAGUCAGCGAUCUUUAGGGGGCCUGAGAGGGUGAUCCCCCACACUGGUACUGAGACACGGACCAGACUCCUACGGGAGGCAGCAGUGAGGAAUAUUGGACAAUGGGUGAGAGCCUGAUCCAGCCAUCCCGCGUGAAGGACGACGGCCCUAUGGGUUGUAAACUUCUUUUGUAUAGGGAUAAACCUAGAUACGUGUAUCUAGCUGAAGGUACUAUACGAAUAAGCACCGGCUAACUCCGUGCCAGCAGCCGCGGUAAUACGGAGGGUGCAAGCGUUAUCCGGAUUUAUUGGGUUUAAAGGGUCCGUAGGCUGAUUUGUAAGUCAGUGGUGAAAUCUCACAGCUUAACUGUGAAACUGCCAUUGAUACUGCAAGUCUUGAGUGUUGUUGAAGUAGCUGGAAUAAGUAGUGUAGCGGUGAAAUGCAUAGAUAUUACUUAGAACACCAAUUGCGAAGGCAGGUUACUAAGCAACAACUGACGCUGAUGGACGAAAGCGUGGGGAGCGAACAGGAUUAGAUACCCUGGUAGUCCACGCCGUAAACGAUGCUAACUCGUUUUUGGGUUUUCGGAUUCAGAGACUAAGCGAAAGUGAUAAGUUAGCCACCUGGGGAGUACGAACGCAAGUUUGAAACUCAAAGGAAUUGACGGGGGCCCGCACAAGCGGUGGAUUAUGUGGUUUAAUUCGAUGAUACGCGAGGAACCUUACCAAGGCUUAAAUGGGAAAUGACAGGUUUAGAAAUAGACUUUUCUUCGGACAUUUUUCAAGGUGCUGCAUGGUUGUCGUCAGCUCGUGCCGUGAGGUGUUAGGUUAAGUCCUGCAACGAGCGCAACCCCUGUCACUAGUUGCCAUCAUUAAGUUGGGGACUCUAGUGAGACUGCCUACGCAAGUAGAGAGGAAGGUGGGGAUGACGUCAAAUCAUCACGGCCCUUACGCCUUGGGCCACACACGUAAUACAAUGGCCGGUACAGAGGGCAGCUACACAGUGAUGUGAUGCAAAUCUCGAAAGCCGGUCUCAGUUCGGAUUGGAGUCUGCAACUCGACUCUAUGAAGCUGGAAUCGCUAGUAACCGCGCAUCAGCCAUGGCGCGGUGAAUACGUUCCCGGGCCU